Molecule: ribosomal RNA, 221 nt
Filed under: uncultured bacterium
Lineage: Bacteria
Description: partial 16S ribosomal RNA
Rfam family: Bacterial small subunit ribosomal RNA
Source: RNAcentral
UGGCGCACGGGUGCGUAACGCGUGGGAAUCUGCCCUUGGGUUCGGGAUAACAGUUGGAAACGACUGCUAAUACCGGAUGAUGACUUCGGUCCAAAGAUUUAUCGCCCAGGGAUGAGCCCGCGUAGGAUUAGCUAGUUGGUGAGGUAAGAGCUCACCAAGGCGACGAUCCUUAGCUGGUCUGAGAGGAUGAUCAGCCACACUGGGACUGAGACACGGCCCAG